UUUCCCACAGUCUGCGUGUUGAUCUUUGACUGACCCGACUUGCUUUAUCUGGUGCCCGCUGGGCAAAAGGACGACUCAGAAUGAUGAAGGUGCUCCCGGGACGCUCCGAGAGCAACCCGCAAAUAGGAAUCCGAGGCCAGGUGACCUUUCCUAGGGUCGUGGGGACGGCCAGGACGAUGGGAUCUGAGGACAAGGCCCAGCAGGGCAGGCACCAGCACUAUUCUUGGACUAUGCUAUUGAACACCAUGACAGAACUGUCCGGGGGGAAAAACAGCUUUUCCCUUUCUCCCGGGAGUAAUAUGAAUUCGGGUCAUAUCUCCGUAAUUAGAAUAAAGAGGAUUUCAAUUUC
This is a long non-coding RNA of Mesocricetus auratus (golden hamster), 349 nucleotides long. RefSeq lists it as uncharacterized. The transcript has 2 exons. The record is from RefSeq and is a predicted model, not a curated record. Lineage: Eukaryota; Metazoa; Chordata; Mammalia; Rodentia; Cricetidae.